Molecule: long non-coding RNA, 2624 nt
Organism: Cydia splendana
Lineage: Eukaryota; Metazoa; Arthropoda; Insecta; Lepidoptera; Tortricidae
Exons: 2
Source: RefSeq, a predicted model, not a curated record
CUUGCACUGCAUGUGCUAUCAAAAUCAUUGCAGACUUUUCUUGGUCUAACUCUAUUCAACUUUUGAAAUUAAUCGAAGCUAAACUUUUGUGCUGAAUAUUGUCAUAGGCCAACUGUAAGUAUAAAAUUGAAGAUAAGCGCCUCCUAAUCCGUAACUGUAAAAAUGUUUAUUGAUUCCGUCAGUGUAUGUUAGGCGCAACGAAAGGCCAGUACACACAGUCUUAUGAUAAAGUAUCUGUUUGGUGUACAUUUGUUCUGUACAAAUAGUUGUGUAAUUUACGUGGCAUGUUUACUUGUAUACUAAGCUUUAUAAUGCACAAUUUUCGAAGCUGUAUCUUUUGGAUUCUAUGGAUUGACAAGUUAAAAUAUUCUUUGACGGUUUGUACAUACUAGAUGUGGUUGAAAUUGAGAAAGAUACAGCGAUGGUAUGGCGUAAUGCCAAACCACGCACAACGGAGCUUGAUACUUGCACUAAAGUUUUAUAAGUAAUAUGAUAUAAUUUUAUAACGGGUUACUAAAACAUUGUCUCCGUGGUUAUAGAGUUAGACCAAAAAAAGUCUGAAAGUGUUAUUAACUUAAACUUCUAUGAAAUUAUGACGUUUAAAAUGACACUUGCACCAGUGGGGAGACACUCCUGACUUCGGUCGAACUCGGCUCCGUUUGGCUAGGCAUUGCUCCGAGCAAUUAUUAGGGUUGGCACCACUUGACUUCCUUGUGCGUGCACGACCACAGAUAAGAUAAUCACUUGAAUUUUGACAACCCUAAAUAGCCGAAAGGGAUAGUGCUAUAUAUUAGAAAGGGAUAGCACGAUUCGACCCUGAAUCGCUGUCAAACUCGGGUUUGUAGGAAGUGUCCUUUCUGUACGGUAGUACUAUUAUUUCUUCUGUGCUUGCACUGCGUGGGCUAUCAAAAUCGCUGCAGACUUUUCUUGGUCUAACUCUUAAAAGGUUCAGUAGCAAUAUUUGCGUAUAGAACUGAAAUUAACAGUAACCCUAGAGGACAAAGAUGAUGUGAUGACGUUAUUUUAUGAAUAUCAAUGCAUUAUUAUUAUACUCUGAAUGGUUAAUGUUUAUGUUGCUAUACAGUUGUAUUAUUUAUGUAUUCUAAUGUAAGUAUUAAAAAGGUUUUGUAAACGUAAACGGUUAAUUUGAAAGAUGAUUUACAGCCAACAGGUAAUUUUAUUGAGGCCUAUGUGGCAGAAAUAAGUACAAGUACCAAGCCAAUUCGGUGUUUCAGGGAUCGGAUACCGGUAUUUUUUGUAUGGGAACGAAAACGGUAUUUUUUCGUUCUUUGUUAAUUACUUCAUUUCUAAUUGGGCAAUUUAAUAACAUGAAGUCGUUACCUAAAAACACAACUGAGUCCUACAUUUGAAGUUAAAGUAUAAAAUUAUUCGAAAAAUAUGGUUAUUUCUAAGUUUUUGCGAAAAAACGGUUCCGAUCCCUGCGGUGUUUAUAUUAUAAUAAAAGAUAUAAGACAUUAGUUGUGACUGUUUGUGUCUAUCUCAACAUACUAAAUAGAGAAUGUAGCAAAUCUUCUCGUUUUUAAAUUGAAAUAAAAUUUAAAGACAGGAACAAAAGAUGGGUGCUUUAAUAUUUUCGUUGAAGACUAACAUUAUUUCACUUGGUAUUAACUGAUUAUUAUAUAACACGAGAGAAUAUUAGCUCAUUGUAGAUAGAUCAAUAUAAAUAUUACAUAUGUAUAGUAAAAGAGCAAAGCCACAUUCUCUGUUUUUGUCAAGCUUUAAAAACAUGUUAGAGAUACACCACUAGCGUCUCCCGAACGUCGGCGACUACUCAACUCUAUGGCUGCUGCCCGACGCAACGUUGGCGCAACUACUCAACUCUAUGGCUGCUGCCCGACGCAACGUUGGCGCAACUACUCAACUCUAUGGCUGCUGCCCGACGCAACGUUGGCGCAACUACUCAACUCUAUGGCUGCUGCCCGACGCAACGUUGGCGCAACUACUCAACUCUAUGGCUGCUGCCCGACGCAACGUUGGCGCAACUACUCAACUCUAUGGCUGCUGCCCGACGCAACGUUGGCGCAACUACUCAACUCUAUGGCUGCUGCCCGACGCAACGUUGGCGCAACUACUCAACUCUAUGGCUGCUGCCCGACGCAACGUUGGCGCAACUACUCAACUCUAUGGCUGCUGCCCGACGCAACGUUGGCGCAACUACUCAACUCUAUGGCUGCUGCCCGACGCAACGUUGGCGCAACUACGCAGCGACACCAUUUUCCAUAGCGCUGACUAGACGCCGACUCUCAAAAGACGCUAAGUGUGGGGCUCUUUUAAUUAUUGUAUUUAUUUUAGACUUUGAACAAAUUGUUUUCUUUCUUCACGCCUUUCUAGUUCGAUAUAUCUACCACUUGGCUGUAAAAUUGAACUUCGGUACCAGAAAACAUAGUAUUAUUUCACCUUCAAAAUGUGACGUGAAAACGUUCUUUGGGAGUCAAUGGAAAUCAAAUUCAGUCAAGUGAUUUGAUUAUUUCAUGCUCUAAAGUCACACGACAUUCUUUGCAAUAACAUGAAUAGUAAAAUGCACUACCUACACUUUAUUUUUUAAUUUUACAUCGAAAACUUUUUGAUGUAUACUUUUUUCAAUAAAUAUUUAACCAAUAACA